This 758-nucleotide long non-coding RNA is filed under the name Chinchilla lanigera (long-tailed chinchilla). RNAcentral's name for it is "lncRNA (ENSCLAG00000027602.1)". Lineage: Eukaryota; Metazoa; Chordata; Mammalia; Rodentia; Chinchillidae. The record is from RNAcentral.
CCCGGGAGUCUGGGGAGCUGGCCCGCACCGCGUGGGUGUAUUUAUGCAAGUGCGAGAGUGUGAAGAAAGCAGUAAAAUCUCCGCGCGAGGCUCUAACGUGACAUAUGUAGACAGGCUGCUUCCCCCACUAUGGAGCCGUCUUCCGCGCCCGGUACAUCUGUUCGGGCGGGAGCUGCACUCCGGCAGCGGGAAGGGAGAGUCACCAGAGCUCGGCCGGCUGGAGGUCACCUGUGACUGCACAGAGUCGACGAGACACUUCUGUUUCUGGUGACAUCCUGUGGCCUUGGCUGCCUCGGUUGGUGUGUAUACGAACAUGAAAAGAGUUCAAGUUCUAAAAAUGGAAGUUUCUGUUCUGACUUUCACAUGGUUCACAGACAAGUUGAAACAGACCAAGAAAAAACUGCAAAGAGGAUCAGAUGUGAACAUUCCAGGGCCCGCUUCCCUGUCCUGGGGUUCUUACUCUCCGUUCCCUUUUUAUUCUCACUCCCUCCUGUACCUUCAAUUGCCGGCUAACAAGCUCCAUUUCUGAUAACAGAUGCCUGACAAAGAAAGAGAAAUAAGACAUUAAAAAAAGAGGGAGGCUGGUGCGGGGGUGGGGACUGCUGAGUUCACUGCCAACAGCGCUUUACGGGAACGUGCUCGCCUUGGCUCUGCACCAACGCAAGGGAAAGAACAGGGCGGGGGCGAGGCGCCUUUGUCUUCAAACUCCUGAUGAAAUAUAGGGUUAAUAUUAGCGAUUAUUAUUAAAAUUAGCCAAA